RNAcentral lists this ribosomal RNA (852 nucleotides) under uncultured bacterium. RNAcentral describes it as "SSU rRNA". It matches the Rfam family "Bacterial small subunit ribosomal RNA", at positions 524 to 1381 of the family's 1533-position model. The record is from RNAcentral.
UACGGAGGGUCCGAGCGUUAUCCGGAAUCAUUGGGUUUAAAGGGUCCGUAGGCGGAUCAGUAAGUCAGGGGUGAAAGUUUGCGGCUCAACCGUAAAAUUGCCUUUGAUACUGCUGGUCUUGAGUUACGAUGAAGUGGCCGGAAUAUGUGGUGUAGCGGUGAAAUGCAUAGAUAUCACAUAGAACACCGAUUGCGAAGGCAGGUCACUAAUCGUAUACUGACGCUGAUGGACGAAAGCGUGGGGAGCAAACGGGAUUAGAUACCCCGGUAGUCCACGCCGUAAACGAUGGACACUAGCUGUCGGGCUUUAUAGUUCGGCGGCCAAGCGAAAGUGAUAAGUGUCCCACCUGGGGAGUACGUUCGCAAGAAUGAAACUCAAAGGAAUUGACGGGGGCCCGCACAAGCGGUGGAGCAUGUGGUUUAAUUCGAUGAUACGCGAGGAACCUUACCAGGGCUUAAAUGUAGUGGGACAGGCUUAGAGAUAGGCUUUUCUUCGGACUCAUUACAAGGUGCUGCAUGGUUGUCGUCAGCUCGUGCCGUGAGGUGUCAGGUUAAGUCCUAUAACGAGCGCAACCCUUACCGUUAGUUGCCAGCGAGUAGAGUCGGGGACUCUAACGGGACUGCCGGUGCAAACCGUGAGGAAGGUGGGGAUGACGUCAAAUCAUCACGGCCCUUACGUCCUGGGCUACACACGUGCUACAAUGGCCGGUACAAUGAGCAGCCACUUCGCAAGAAGGCGCGAAUCUAUAAAACCGGUCACAGUUCGGAUCGGGGUCUGCAACCCGACCCCGUGAAGCUGGAAUCGCUAGUAAUCGGAUAUCAGCCAUGAUCCGGUGAAUACGUUCCCGGGCCU